AACGAACGCUGGCGGCAUGCCUAACACAUGCAAGUCGAACGAGACCUUCGGGUCUAGUGGCGCACGGGUGCGUAACGCGUGGGAACCUGCACUUAGGUUCGGAAUAACUCCCCGAAAGGGGUGCUAAUACCGGAUAAUGUCUUAGGACCAAAGAUUUAUCGCCUCUGGAUGGGCCCGCGUUGGAUUAGCUAGUUGGUAGGGUAAAAGCCUACCAAGGCGACGAUCCAUAGCUGGUCUGAGAGGAUGAUCAGCCACACUGGGACUGAGACACGGCCCAGACUCCUACGGGAGGCAGCAGUGGGGAGUAUUGGACGAUGGGCGAAAGCCUGGUCCAGCAGUGCCGCGUGAGUGGUGAAGGCCUUAGGGUUGUAAAGCUCUUUUACCCGGGAUGAUAAUGACAGUACCGGGAGAAUAAGCUCCGGCUAACUCCGUG
This 433-nucleotide ribosomal RNA is filed under the name uncultured bacterium. RNAcentral describes it as "partial 16S ribosomal RNA". It matches the Rfam family "Bacterial small subunit ribosomal RNA", at positions 29 to 507 of the family's 1533-position model. The record is from RNAcentral.